AGUGAACGCUGGCGGUAGGCCUAACACAUGCAAGUCGAACGGCAGCACAGUAAGAGCUUGCUCUUACGGGUGGCGAGUGGCGGACGGGUGAGGAAUACAUCGGAAUCUACUUUUUCGUGGGGGAUAACGUAGGGAAACUUACGCUAAUACCGCAUACGACCUACGGGUGAAAGCAGUGGAUCUUCGGACCUUGCGCGAAUGAAUGAGCCGAUGUCGGAUUGGCUAGUUGGCGGGGUAAAGGCCCACCAAGGCGACGAUCCGUAGCUGGUCUGAGAGGAUGAUCAGCCACACUGGAACUGAGACACGGUCCAGACUCCUACGGGAGGCAGCAGUGGGGAAUAUUGGACAAUGGGCGCAAGCCUGAUCCAGCCAUACCGCGUGGGUGAAGAAGGCCUUCGGGUUGUAAAGCCCUUUUGUUGGGAAAGAAAAGCAGCAGGUUAAUACCCCGCUGUUCUGACGGUACCCAAAGAAUAAGCACCGGCUAACUUCGUG
Molecule: ribosomal RNA, 492 nt
Filed under: uncultured bacterium
Lineage: Bacteria
Description: partial 16S ribosomal RNA
Rfam family: Bacterial small subunit ribosomal RNA
Source: RNAcentral